GUGGCAGAGGCCUAGUCUUGGUGCUUCUGCCCUGACACGCACAACGGAGCACACGUGUGAAGCACAGAGGCAGGCGAGCACUGCCACCUUUGUGCAAACGAUGUGGUAGAGAUCUUUGUAGAAGAUGAUGUGGUAUUGCAGUCCGUGUCCUCUGUUGCAUACUUCAAGCUGCCUGCUUGGACUUCCAUCUUAAUUCGCAAGUGCAGUUUGAAAGACGCCCCAUUUGGGCAUCAGAUCUGUGAGGAGCCUGUUGUGGCCUUCUUCCAAGGGAACUG
Molecule: long non-coding RNA, 275 nt
Filed under: Anser brachyrhynchus (Pink-footed goose)
Lineage: Eukaryota; Metazoa; Chordata; Aves; Anseriformes; Anatidae
Description: lncRNA (ENSABRG00000022155.1)
Source: RNAcentral